GAGUUGAUCAUGGCUCAGAAUCAACGCUGGCGGCGUGCCUAACACAUGCAAGUCGAACGCGAAAGUCCCGCAAGGGAUGAGUAGAGUGGCAAACGGGUGAGUAACACGUGGGUGACCUGCCUUCGAGUGGGGGAUAACGUCCCGAAAGGGACGCUAAUACCGCAUAACAUGCUGUCUUUUAAGAGAGAGACAUCAAAGCCGGGGACCGCAAGGCCUGGCGCUUGAAGAGGGGCCCGCGCCUGAUUAGCUAGUUGGUGGGGUAAUGGCUCACCAAGGCAACGAUCAGUAUCCGGCCUGAGAGGGCGGACGGACACACUGGGACUGAGACACGGCCCAGACUCCUACGGGAGGCAGCAGUGGGGAAUUGUUCGCAAUGGGCGCAAGCCUGACGACGCAACGCCGCGUGGAGGAUGAAGAUCUUCGGGUCGUAAACUCCUUUCGAUCGAGACGAAUGGCCCUCGGGUUAACAGCCUGAGGGAAUGACGGUACCGAGAGAAGAAGCCCCGGCUAACUCCGUGCCAGCAGCCGCGGUAAUACGGGGGGGGGCAAGCGUUGUUCGGAAUUACUGGGCGUAAAGGGCUCGUAGGCGGCCAACUAAGUCAUACGUGAAAUCCCUCGGCUUAACCGGGGAACUGCGUCUGAUACUGGAUGGCUUGAGUUCGGGAGAGGGAUGCGGAAUUCCAGGUGUAGCGGUGAAAUGCGUAGAUAUCUGGAGGAACACCGGUGGCGAAGGCGGCAUCCUGGACCGAUACUGACGCU
This 759-nucleotide ribosomal RNA is filed under the name uncultured bacterium. RNAcentral describes it as "bacterial SSU rRNA". It matches the Rfam family "Bacterial small subunit ribosomal RNA", at positions 9 to 747 of the family's 1533-position model. The record is from RNAcentral.